UGUCAUGGAGUCGCUCUCUUCA
MicroRNA from Caenorhabditis elegans, 22 nucleotides. Lineage: Eukaryota; Metazoa; Nematoda; Chromadorea; Rhabditida; Rhabditidae. The record is from Ensembl.